This 481-nucleotide ribosomal RNA is filed under the name uncultured bacterium. RNAcentral's name for it is "partial 16S ribosomal RNA". It matches the Rfam family "Bacterial small subunit ribosomal RNA", at positions 28 to 523 of the family's 1533-position model. The record is from RNAcentral.
GACGAACGCUGGCGGCGUGCUUAACACAUGCAAGUCGAGCGAUGAAGUUUCUUCGGAAAUGGAUUAGCGGCGAACGGGUGAGGAACACGUGAAGAAUCUGCCCUCCACUUUGGGAUAACACAGGGAAACCUGUGCUAAUACCGAAUAUUGAAACAUAAGUGGCAUCACUGAGUUUUGAAAGAACUUCGGUGGAGGAUGACUUCGCGGCCUAUCAGCUAGUUGGUGAGGUAAUGGCUCACCAAGGCAACGACGGGUAGCCGGCCGGAGAGGGCGACCGGCCACACUGGGACUGAGACACGGCCCAGACUCCUGCGGGAGGCAGCAGUGGGGAAUAUUGGGCAAUGGAGGAAACUCUGACCCAGCGACGCCGCGUGCGGGAUGAAGGCCUUCGGGUUGUAAACCGCUUCCAGUAGGGAAGAAGCGAAAGUGACGGUACCUACAAAAGAAGCACCGGCUAACUAUGUGCCAGCAGCCGCCGUAA